AUUGAACGCUGGCGGCAGGCCUAACACAUGCAAGUCGAGCGGAUGAAGGGAGCUUGCUCCUGGAUUCAGCGGCGGACGGGUGAGUAAUGCCUAGGAAUCUGCCUGGUAGUGGGGGAUAACGUCCGGAAACGGGCGCUAAUACCGCAUACGUCCUGAGGGAGAAAGUGGGGGAUCUUCGGACCUCACGCUAUCAGAUGAGCCUAGGUCGGAUUAGCUAGUUGGUGGGGUAAAGGCCUACCAAGGCGACGAUCCGUAACUGGUCUGAGAGGAUGAUCAGUCACACUGGAACUGGGACACGGUCCAGACUCCUACGGGAGGCAGCAGCGGGGAAUAUUGGACAAUGGGCGAAAGCCUGAUCCAGCCAUGCCGCGUGUGUGAAGAAGGUCUUCGGAUUGUAAAGCACUUUAAGUUGGGAGGAAGGGCAGUAAGUUAAUACCUUGCGGUUUUGACGUUACCAACAGAAUAAGCACCGGCUAACUUCGUG
RNAcentral lists this ribosomal RNA (484 nucleotides) under uncultured bacterium. Its description in RNAcentral is "partial 16S ribosomal RNA". It matches the Rfam family "Bacterial small subunit ribosomal RNA", at positions 30 to 507 of the family's 1533-position model. The record is from RNAcentral.